This is a long non-coding RNA of Saccostrea cuccullata (small rock oyster), 412 nucleotides long. RefSeq lists it as uncharacterized. The record is from RefSeq and is a predicted model, not a curated record. Lineage: Eukaryota; Metazoa; Mollusca; Bivalvia; Ostreida; Ostreidae. The transcript has 4 exons.
AACAGAAGGUUGUGACCCUGCUGAGUGACCCAAACAACAGAAGGUCGUGACCCUGCUGAAUGACCCAGACAACAGAAGGUCGUGACCCUGCUGAGUUACCCAGACAACAGUGUUAAACAGACCCUGCUGGAGAACGGAAUCACAAAGCUGCAUGUGUCUUCUUUGGCAGGCAGAAAGCCAAUGACAUUGAUUAUUUCGAUCGAUCCUCAAUGAAAAGCAGGAUUCAAGUUUCUCAAGACCAUGCAUUCUUUGCCACGGCCUCCAAUGAUGGUACAGUCAAAUUAUGGGAGUCUGAAGAACUGGAGGUAAACAGUGUUGCUAAUCGCUCUAAACAGACCCUCAAGAAUACUUCUGUACCUGGAGAGAAAGUGAAAGGUUUAGUUUUCUGUGAAGCUCCUUGUUCUGCUCUCUC